CUGAUCCUCGCCUGCCUGCGCGUUAUAGAUCGUGUGGCGUGGCGGUGCGCUUGGUGGUGGUGCCUUGGUGCUGCUAAUGGUGGAGUGCAGUUUGCUUCUUUAAAUGGUGCCGCCCAGCUUUGCGCGCUCCAAUGGGACGGCCGGGGAGAGGCCAGCGGGAAAAGCGGCGGCCCCGGGCGCACCAGUAAACCGUAUAUGCCCCUCUCCACUCCAAAAGCGGAGGCCGUGUGCCGAUUUAACAACUUGCACACGCAAAAGGAAUCACAGAUGGAUGACCGACGGAUGGAGGAGGUGGUCUCUGUUGGAGUUCACCGGAGGUCCGGAGAGGCAGAGACGAGAGCUUCAGCUGCUGCCUCCUCGCUGCUAAUACAGGGGAAGGGGAAGCCACCGCCCACCAGCGGCGAUGGCCUCCGAACAAUAAUUGCCACUAUUGGUUUCUAG
RNAcentral lists this unclassified non-coding RNA (441 nucleotides) under Zea mays. Its description in RNAcentral is "misc RNA Zm00001eb077020". The record is from RNAcentral. Lineage: Eukaryota; Viridiplantae; Streptophyta; Magnoliopsida; Poales; Poaceae.